ACUCCUACGGGAGGCAGCAGUGGGGAAUCUUAGACAAUGGGGGCAACCCUGAUCUAGCCAUGCCGCGUGAGUGAUGAAGGCCUUCGGGUUGUAAAGCUCUUUCAGCUGGGAAGAUAAUGACGGUACCAGCAGAAGAAGCCCCGGCUAACUCCGUGCCAGCAGCCGCGGUAAUA
RNAcentral lists this ribosomal RNA (173 nucleotides) under uncultured bacterium. RNAcentral's name for it is "partial 16S ribosomal RNA". It matches the Rfam family "Bacterial small subunit ribosomal RNA", at positions 335 to 525 of the family's 1533-position model. The record is from RNAcentral.